AAUCAGAGGUUAGCUUAACAAAACGCACUCGCGUACAAAUUCUUAAACGCACUAUUCCAGUGAGUUACACGAUCAGCUACGAAGAGUACAACAAAUACAACUAAUCUAAUAAUAAGAAAUAGCCUGGAUACAAACUAAGGCCUGGCUUCUCAUUAGCAUGAAGCCCUCACGAUGCAGCUUGUUGAUGCUCCCUGUCGAUCUGAAACCGCAACACAAGUCGACUGACCUAUCUGGAAAUGGAGUGAUGAUGUGGCAUUUCUCGAGCUCCCCCCUGACACAGAUCAGCUCCUUCAUGUCUACAGUCUGAAUAUGGGAGACUUCAAGGAUGUGGUUAAGCAGGGUGGUUGAGCCAUCAACAUAAUGAACUGAACAGCAGAAGAUUCCCCCAAUAAUGGGUGGAAGAAAUCCAACCCGAGAGCUGGUGAGGAUGAAUAGCUGUACCUGCUGUGCUUCCUGUUGCAUUUCAUCGUGACCCAAAUCUGCCUCCGUUAUGCAAAAUCCAAGAUUUAGUUAAAAGACUUGACCCAGACAGCAGGUCUUUGCACAGGUUAAUGGGGUGUUGGAGAAGAGCAGCAUGUCAGAAGUGACGUUCAACAACAUGAUCGGUACUGCACCUGCAUGUCAUUCACAGCAUCCACAGUGUGUACCCCGGGAAACCUCAUGCAGCUCGACAGCAACACAGGGGGAGCCAGUUUUACUCAUUUUCAAAAACAUGUGGGCUUCACUGUUACGUUCCAGACACGUGCUGUAAUGAUGAUGUACAAAGCUAUCGUUAUUUAUUGUAGGCCUUGUCAUACCUUCAAGCUGUUCCAACAUGUUUUUUCUUGUGUACCUCCCAGUAAUUGCUUUCACAGUGGCAGGGGCGGAGGUGUCUGGAUUCCUCUGAAGGGGUUACAGUUUUUGUGAUUGUAUUGCAUCAUCAGUGGCUGCAUCUCAUCUUAAAUAUCUGCAUGUUUCCUGUAGUUCUGUCAGCCAUCAGUGGGUCUCUGCCUGCUGAUGUGUGCGUGUAGUUCCAGUUAACGAAGCUUGUUGCUUGACAUGAAUUUCAAAUAAUUGUAAUAAA
Eleginops maclovinus (Patagonian blennie) is the source of this 1063-nucleotide long non-coding RNA. RefSeq lists it as uncharacterized. The transcript is spliced from 6 exons. Lineage: Eukaryota; Metazoa; Chordata; Actinopteri; Perciformes; Eleginopidae. The record is from RefSeq and is a predicted model, not a curated record.